AUCCAAGAUAAAAUCACAAAGAUAGCUGAAUCCGCCGCUUCUUUUACUUCAAUGAAGCAAGGAGAGGUGACAAUCAAGGAAGUCAUGGAUAUGGUCUUGGAAUGUGGGGCUGUGCACAGUUCCAAUGAGCAUGAUAUUGCCACACAGUUAUUUGUGAAGAAGGACCAACGGGAAAUGUUCAAGACCCUUCCUAAAGAGUUUAGGUUCAAUUGGCUUAAGAGGAGAUACAACGACAAGUAUGGAAAUUGA
RNAcentral lists this ribosomal RNA (249 nucleotides) under Triticum aestivum (bread wheat). Its description in RNAcentral is "partial small subunit ribosomal RNA". Lineage: Eukaryota; Viridiplantae; Streptophyta; Magnoliopsida; Poales; Poaceae. The record is from RNAcentral.